RNA transcript from Fukomys damarensis (Damara mole-rat), 1051 nucleotides. It is a transcript of the gene named dolichyl-phosphate mannosyltransferase subunit 1, catalytic, with no coding region annotated. The record is from RefSeq and is a predicted model, not a curated record. The transcript has 10 exons. Lineage: Eukaryota; Metazoa; Chordata; Mammalia; Rodentia; Bathyergidae.
GUAUUUCCGCCUCCGGCACCUCACGCAGUUCCGCCAUGGCCUCUAAGGAAGCGGGUCGUACGCCUACCCGGUCUCGGCGGGAGCCGCAGCGGCCCUCCCCGUACCAGAACAAGUAUUCGGUGCUUUUACCAACCUACAACGAGCGAGAGAACUUGCCGCUCAUCGUGUGGCUGCUGGUGAAAAGCUUCUCUGAGAGUGGGUUCAACUAUGAAAUCAUAAUCAUAGAUGAUGGAAGCCCAGAUGGAACAAGGGAUGUUGCUGAACAAUUGGAAAAGAUCUAUGGAUCAGACAAAAUUCUUCUAAGACCACGGGAGAAAAAGUUGGGCCUAGGAACUGCAUAUAUUCAUGGAAUGAAGCAUGCCACAGGAAACUAUAUAAUUAUUAUGGAUGCUGAUCUCUCACACCAUCCAAAGUUUAUUCCUGAAUUCAUUAGAAAGCAAAAGGAGGGUAAUUUUGAUAUUGUCUCUGGAACUCGCUACAAAGGAAAUGGAGGUGUAUAUGGCUGGGAUUUGAAAAGAAAAAUAAUCAGCCGUGGUGCCAAUUUUAUAACUCAGAUUUUGCUCAGACCAGGAGCAUCUGAUUUAACAGGAAGCUUCAGAUUAUACAAAAAAGAAGUUCUACAGAAGUUAAUAGAAAAAUGUGUUUCUAAAGGCUAUGUCUUCCAGAUGGAGAUGAUUGUUCGGGCAAGGCAAUUGAAUUACACUAUUGGUGAGGUUCCAAUAUCAUUUGUGGAUCGUGUUUAUGGUGAAUCCAAGUUGGGAGGAAAUGAAAUCGUGUCUUUCUUGAAAGGAUUAUUGACUCUUUUUACUACUACAUAAAAGUUGUUCAUUGCUACUUAUGUUCAUUUCAAUUGAAAUAUAAAAGGAGCCCUGUUUCUGAUUUUUAUAACAUGUACUCUUAGAGCAUAAACCAUAAGGCCAAAGAGAAGAGUCCAUGACUUGAGUUGGAAGAAUGUCAAGGCCCAGCACAGCAGACCUGUAAAAUGCAGCCCUUGUCCACUGAAUACCCCACCUCACCAGGAAGGCCUCAGGGUCUAGGAGUUGCCUCAUCU